AAUCAACGCUGGCGGCGUGCCUCAGACAUGCAAGUCGAACGCGAAAGUCCCCUUCGGGGGAUGAUUAGAGUGGCGCACGGGUGAGUAACACGUGGGUAAUCUACCUUCGAGUGGGGAAUAACUCAGGGAAACUUGAGCUAAUACCGCAUAAUGCAGCGGCACCACAUGGUGACAGUUGUUAAAGCAUUUAUGCGCUUGAAGAGGAGCCUGCGGCGGANAGCUAGUUGGUAAGGUAAUGGCUUACCAAGGCUACGAUCUGUAACCGGCCUGAGAGGGCGGACGGUCACACUGACACUGAAUAACGGGUCAGACUCCUAC
RNAcentral lists this ribosomal RNA (318 nucleotides) under uncultured bacterium. RNAcentral's name for it is "bacterial SSU rRNA". It matches the Rfam family "Bacterial small subunit ribosomal RNA", at positions 32 to 342 of the family's 1533-position model. The record is from RNAcentral.